RNAcentral lists this ribosomal RNA (350 nucleotides) under uncultured Desulfobulbus sp. RNAcentral's name for it is "bacterial SSU rRNA". It matches the Rfam family "Bacterial small subunit ribosomal RNA", at positions 1034 to 1382 of the family's 1533-position model. The record is from RNAcentral. Lineage: Bacteria; Pseudomonadati; Thermodesulfobacteriota; Desulfobulbia; Desulfobulbales; Desulfobulbaceae.
ACAGGUGCUGCAUGGCUGUCGUCAGCUCGUGUCGUGAGAUGUUGGGUUAAGUCCCGCAACGAGCGCAACCCUUGCCUUUAGUUGCCAGCGAGUUCGGCUGGGCACUCUAAAGGGACUGCCGGUGUUAAACCGGAGGAAGGUGGGGAUGACGUCAAGUCCUCAUGGCCUUUAUGACCAGGGCUACACACGUACUACAAUGGCCGAUACAAAGGGCAGCGACACUGCGAGGUGAAGCCAAUCCCGUAAAAUCGAUCUCAGUCCGGAUUGGAGUCUGCAACUCGACUCCAUGAAGUUGGAAUCGCUAGUAAUCGUGGAUCAGCAUGCCACGGUGGAAUACGUUCCCGGGCCUU